This is a long non-coding RNA of Hemiscyllium ocellatum (epaulette shark), 4284 nucleotides long. RefSeq lists it as uncharacterized. Lineage: Eukaryota; Metazoa; Chordata; Chondrichthyes; Orectolobiformes; Hemiscylliidae. The transcript is spliced from 3 exons. The record is from RefSeq and is a predicted model, not a curated record.
GAAUAGGAAGGGUUUGGAGGGAUAUGGGCCAGGUGCUGGCAGGUGGGACUAGUUUGGGUUGGGAUAUUUGGUCGGUACGGAGGGGUUAGACCGAAGGGUCUGUUUCCGUGCUGUACAUCUCUUGACAAAGCCUUGUCUGAGGGUGAAAUGUUGUCGUUCCCGUUGAUGCGGGUGGUCCCCUGUCUGUUGUCCUUUUUGUUUCCUUUCUCGGAAAGGACAUCGCGGACAUGGGCAGCGUUCCCGAGGCCCGCUCCGGAACGGGCUGUUCCGUCCUCUUCCAGCCCCUGGGGGGGGAAGGGGCAGCUUGAGUGUAUUGGGAGAGUGGGCCGUUCACCGGGAAUGGGACGGAAGAGCGGUACCGGUAAUGGGGCGAGGGGGAGAUGCCUCAGACCGCCAGAAACACUGGGGCAGCUGCUCGCGUGCUCCUUUUGGAUCUCACAGCACAGGGAGGCCUUUCAUCUGAUUACCUCCCCGUCUCUGUCUCUGUCUCUCUGGCUCUGGCUCUGGCUCUGGCUCUCUGUGUCUCUGUCUCUCUCUCUGCGUCUGUCUGUCUCUCUGAGGUGACAGCGGAUUCCAGCGUAUUGCUGCUUGCUGGGUAAACCUGUUUUUCCUCUGUUUUCCCCCUCUCUCUCCUGCUCAAACCCCUGAACUUCAGGCCGCCCCUGACCUUGUCACUAUCAGUGAAUAGGGAACAGCUUUUCUUCCUCCACCUUAUCUGAACCUAUCACAAUCUUCCCCACUUUCACCAGUUGUAUCUGUGUGUGACCCUCUCUUUCUGUGUCUCUUUCUCUCCUAAGCCCCCUCCCUCACCACAUCCCAUUUACCCACCCCCUCCUGUCAUGCUCCCUCUUUCAAACAGUCUCGUUGUGUUUCCACUGCCUCUUCCCCAUCGUUUCCGUCAAGCACCUCAUCUCACGCUUAGAACCCCUGCAGUGUAGGAGUAGGCCCUUCAGCCCAUCCAACCCACACCUCACCCAGACCUCUGCCUGUAACCCUGCAAUUCCCAUUGGCUAACCCACCUAGCCUACACAUCCCUGGGCACUAUGGGUAAUUUAACAUGGCCAAUGCCCCCUAACCUGCACAUCCCCAAACACUAUGUAAUUUAGCACGGCCAGUCCACCCAAACCUGCACGUCCCUGGAUACUAUAGGACAAUUUAGCAUGGCCAAUCCACCCUCACCUACACAACCCUGGACACUAUGGGUAAUUUAGCCUGACCAAUCCACCCAAACCUGCACAUCCCUGGAUACUAUAGGACAAUUUAGCCUGGCCAAUCCUACACUAAGGGUGGAUUGGCCAUGCUAAAUUACCCAAUCCUCCAUAUCCCUGGGUACUGUUAGGAUAAAAUAGGUCAAGGGAGGGUGGAGCUAUAGCUGCUGUUUGGGGAAUCGAAACUGUAGCUGUAGCUGCUGCUUGGGAAAUCGAAACUGUUGCUUACGUGGCCAGCUCAGCUGCCAACGCCCAAAUGAGCUCAAUAACAGGAAACGUCUAGCAAACGCGAAAUGUCCUAAUAAGGCAAUGCUUAGUAGCUCCGCGAAGCUCUGCUUAGCAAAGAGUAUAUCAGGAGCAGAUUUGGGAGGGGAAGGCAGAACGCACCUUCUCCAGUGAAUGCAUGGUGAUUCACUGUAUCAGCUACGAUUCUGCAAUAAAGCCUGCUUGUGCCAAACAAUUGAGCGUCUGUUGUCUCUCCUCCUAAAACGAACAUGCAAGGACAAAUUCCGUCCUAACAGUACUAUGGGUACUUUAGCACGGCCAAUUCACCCUCACCUACGCAUCUUUGGAUUGUGGGAGGAAGCCGGAGCACCCGGAGAAAACCCUCGCAGGCGCAGGCUGGAAAUGUGCAAACUCCACACGGACAGUCGCCCCUGAGGCUGGAAUUGAACCCGGGUCCCUUGGCGCUGUGACCACUGAGCAACCCCUUAUAAUCCGCCUGCGUUAAGUUCCUUUUGUCACCUGGAGGAAUGUUACAGGGGGGAGCGGGGUUUAAGUCUUGUCUGAGCUGAGAGAGGACACAGGAGAUGCUCCUCAUCAUGCUUUCAUGUGUCAUGUUGCAUAAUUCUUAGAUUUUACAUGUAAAUGUUUAGUUGGGGUUAGAAUUCUUGUAAAUAUAGACAAACGGAAACACUUGUUGAGACAUUUCACCAAACCCCAAGUCGGCAAUUGACAUGCCCGCCCCUGAAAAGAGAACCGUUCGUGGGGUCAGAGUUGACAUUGAGAAUAGCGAAAUGAACAAUGUCCCCGUCGUGUUUGUAUUUUUGCUGACAGAAGGGUAGUUUGCAGUCAGCAGGAACUGUGGGACUAGAGGCUGCGGGCCAGGUCUGCGCUCGGGAGCGUAAAUCCCAACGGGAACCAGAGGCAUUGCUAACGUUUAAGCCAGCUGAGCUUAGCAAGAAAAGGCUGCGACCCUGUGCUUGAACUGAUCAGCCGAAACUUUGGGCGUAGCCAAGGAGAUCUGAAGGCGAAGCUAACGGGAGGGUCUCCUUUCUCAAAAAAACCAGAAAACAUGAGGGAUACCAGGAAGAAUUCCGCUGAAUUCCAGAGAGCUGUGGCAUGCCGUUGAUUUGGGCCACCAAAAGCCUUCUCAGUACUCUACAAGUGACUUCACCAACAUCCUGUACAACUUCAACAUGAUGUCCCAACUCCUUUAUUCAAUGGUGUGAACAAUUAAGCAAAGGCUAUAACUUCACACUGUGGGACUGUUUGCCAAUUGAGACGCAGACCUGGAUCAACAUUUCCUGAGACUGCUCCUCCCUGGAUUCACUGCCUUUACAUUCAGUUGCUGCGAGUCAACAAUUGAAGCCCACAAUGAAAUAAGAAAUUGAAAAGAGAGUGCCGUACUCCCAGAUGUUAAACAGAGGAAGGAGGUUGCACUCUGGAGUGAAGCUCAAUCUUCAUUCAAAGAGAGAGGUGCAGCAGCAGCUUCAGAAGCUCAUGGGACAACUUCCGCAUUCAGACAAUAGGGGAUGUUCUCAUUGGCAGGAGGACUACUCUCCGUUCGGUCCUCCAAGGCUCCCCAUUGGCUUCUAAAGAAGAUCGCCCCCGUUGCAGCGGACAGCUAGGAGCAUGCGCCGUUCUUGCUGACACCGAGGAGCAUGCGCCGUACACUCGGUGGCAAUGCUGCGAUUACUGACAAAUUUAAGUCUCCAAAUGCCAAUAGGAGAAAAAGAAACGGUAGAACCAAUAUUUCUUUUCCCCCGUGACUCGACCUAACCAAACAUGCUCCUCACUAUUUUUGCUAGUCACCUUGCCUGCACCCCUCAUUAUUUUACAAAUCUCAAUAAGGUCACCCCUCAACCUCCUCCACUCCAGAGAAUAAAGUCUCAGCCUCUCCUUAUAACUCAAACCCUUCAGUCCUGGCAACAUCCUGGUAACUCUUUACCGAACCCUCUCUAAUAGUAUUCUUCCCAUAACAGAGCCACCAGAACUGUACUCUGUUGUAAAAGUGGCCUCACCACCAUCCUGUACAAUUUCAAAACGAUGUCCCAACUCCAACAUUCAACGGUGUGUACAAUGAAGGCAAGUGGGCUAAACAACUCUUAACCACUUAGUCUACCAGUGAUGCAACUUUCAAAGAACUAUGUACCUGAACCAUACCUCCAUGUCUCUGUUCUACAACAUAACCCAGGGCCCUGCCAGUAACUGCAAUUCCUCCCCUUCUUUUUUUAAGCAAAAUGCAAUUCCUCACUUUUAUCUAUACCUCUCUCUCGUACACAUGCUCUCUCUCAAACACAGACACACACCACUCAACACUCUCACAGGUUUAUACUCCUCAUACAUUACCAUGCAUGCACACAGGCAAACAUAUACUCUUAGGCAAACUCUCACACACAAAGUCACACACACACACACUCUGAUGCAUGCACAGACACACACAGGUCAAUGGGGUAAAUUUGCAUUUGCAGAUACAUUCAAUUUUGAUCAAAAAAAGCACACAAUCGGCAGGCAGUCAAUCCAUGUAAUAUUUUAUACAUUCCUACUUUGGAAAUUCAAGAUUGGGAUACAGACAGAGUCAAACCUCACAUUCUUCAUUUACUGAGCUGAGAUGUCACUGAUUUUUAUAAAACCUUAAGUCAUCUCAAGAAUGUGACUCAAAAGUACUUCUGAGCUUUACAUAUUAAUUACAAAACCCACAACCCAUUCUAGAAGAUGAAAGACUAAACCACAAUCUUGAUUUGUUCAAUAUAUCCUAUCAGUAGUAUGACACUGAUCGGUUGCGAUAUGUUCCUGCUCCAUAGCUACCCGAUGAAAGAGCAGCACUCCGAAAGCUACUGCUUCCAAAUAAAUC